This is a small nucleolar RNA of Prunus persica (peach), 80 nucleotides long. It matches the Rfam family "Small nucleolar RNA R12". Rfam says of the family: snoR12 is a C/D box small nucleolar RNA, which acts as a methylation guide for 25S ribosomal RNA in plants. snoR12 has been alternatively named snoZ44 in Arabidopsis and snoZ131 in rice. The record is from Rfam. NCBI's taxonomy places the organism in Eukaryota, Viridiplantae, Streptophyta, Magnoliopsida, Rosales, Rosaceae.
UGUUGGGUGAUGAAAAAAAUCGGACGGAUUCCCAAUGAUAACAUUAUUGUAUGAUAUUAAACCAGCUACUUCUGACUACA